CGGCGCUUUCCCGCCGGCGGUGGCGGCUGGCCCGGGAGACAGCCCGGCAGUGAGGCUGGGCCCCGGCGAGGGCGCUGGGGAGCGCGGGACCCCGGAGUCGGGAGGCUGGCACGGAAAGGGCCCGCGCACACGCGCGCCCCUACCCGACGCGGCGUUCCCCGGUGCGUUUUUGUGCCAUUCUGCCCAAGCAGGCCCUGCACCCGGCCCGGGCGGGAGGGCGGGCACCGACCCACUUGCUCUCCGCUGCCUGGAACAAAGGGCGCAGGGUUUAACCUCAGCCGGCUGAGCGUGCAUUUGCAGGCGCCCGCGCAGCCUCUGCCUGUGCAGCUCUGUCUGCUCUAACUGCGAGAGUGAAGCCCUGAGAAGGAAGUGCAGGCAGUGGAUACUCGAACCCCCGUGAAGCCCUCUGUCGCGGGAUUCGCUAACCCUUGCUGCAGAUUCCCCCAAACGUUUCCUUUUUGGUGGAAGCACUUUGCCCGGUUCACGUGCCUCGAGUACCAACUGUGUGCUGGCUGGCGACUCUGCUAGGUUCUGGGGAUAUGGAAGUAAAAGGCAAUCUUUCUGCCAGCAGACCACUCAGUUCAGUGGGGAGGAAAGACAAAUGAGCAGAUAAGACCUAACGCAUGAUAAAUGUUAGGGACGGAGACCCAGGGGGAACAAAGAAGAAAGAUACCCAUCCGACUAGACGUCCAGGAAGGCUUCUCAGAGGAAGUGGCACCCAGGGUACAUCUGGAAGAAGAAGCAGCUGUUGGAGAAGAAGUUGUGGAGUGAUUGAGUCUGAUGAGUACUUUGCCAUCACCUUCCCCUGAGGAGGACCCGUGAAGCUUAGGGGGUGGGGUGGACUGAGAGGGAGUGACUGAGACCAGGUCCCGAAGAUCCUCUGUAUGCUUACAAUGAGUUUGGAUUUUGUCCCUGAGGCAGUGGGGAGGCAGACAGGUUUUAAGGGGAGGGUGGUGUCAUGCCAUGUGCUCUUUCAGAACGAAGGUGUAGCAGCAAGAGUGAGGUCACAGAAAGCAUGGCUCUAAGCCCCAGGGGAUACCAGGGACUUAAGGCAACAGAGUGGAGAAGGAAAGACAAGGUCAGAAUUUUAGGAAGUGGAAUGAACUGCCUGGGACAGAAUGACAGGUUGAGGAACAGGGAAUUGUCACGGAGCCUGAUCAAGGUUCUGGUUGGAUGAGAGUUAUGUGUGGUGGAUUUGUAAGUCAAUUUGGGGACUAUGGGGAGGAAGGAAUGGGUUUGAGUGAAGGUAGAAUGAUGGUAAACACUUGUAGAUUCUUUACGGUGUGCUGGAGUCUAUGCAAUACACAAUUCUGUGUUAUUUAAUCUCUGUAACAGGCUUCUGUUUGAGGUGGCUAUCAGUAAUGCCUUGUUUCAUAGUUGAGGAAGUGAGGCCCGAUUCUAUUAACAUGCCCAGAGCCACAUGAUUUCCUUCUGGGGCUGGUGGAGUUCGAGGUGCCCCUUGGGCACAUAAGUGAAGAUGUCUAGGAGGCAGUUGGGUAAACACCUGUGGAGUUAGGAGAGCUGGCUGAGAGUAAGCGGAGACCUGGGAGUCAUUAGCGCACAGCCAGGGGUGGGAGGAUCUAAAAUAGGGAAAGCAGGCGGGGAACAGAGGUAUGGAAGGGGGAAGAAGCUGGGAGAAGAAACUGAGAAAGAAGAGACCAGGAGACCAGGUCAGCCCUGUCUCGUGCUGAAGAUAGCAGGUGGCGAGACAUGGACUGGAAAGUACCUGACAGCAUCUAGGAUCCCAGGAGGGAACGCUGGCAGGAGUGGGUGUGGACAGAAGCCAAACUGACGUGCAUCCCAGAGGGGAAGGCAAAAGGAGAUAUUUCACGGACACUUGGCUGUGAAGGCAGGUUGUAAGAGCAUCAAGAGAAAGCUGCAGGAUGAAGGAAGGGACAUGCAGGGACAGCAGCCUCCUGCUCAUUUUGGAGACAGAGAGCCCUAUGUGCCCUGGGUGGUCGGAAACGUUCUCCCAUUUCUGCCCCAAAUCCACUGCAACUUGGUGAGACUUAUCUUCCAGCCUUUGAGAUGAACUUUCUUACCCAGGCCGCCCACAUGUCUGCUCCUUCAGCUCCUGGAGUCUCUCAGCUUGAGGUCCUGUGAAAUGAUCCAGGGCCCAUGACCAAACUCAGGCAGAGCACUGGACAGGGAGCAAGACUCAGAUAACGGAAGAUUGAUAAUAACUAACAUUUUGUGAAGGUAAACAGAAGUUCUAUCGAGAAGGACUCAGGAUAUAGGUCUACAGACUGAAGGAAACAGACCAAGGAGAACAUUUCUUCCUUUCUUUUUUGGGUUAAGUCUAAUUUUAGGAAGCAGGAAACAGAUACUUAAUAAAAAUGGAUGUUUCUAAGCCAAUCGUAUGGGUGCGUGUGUGUGCGUGCAUCUGUGUGUGUGUGUGUGUGUGUGUGUGUAUGUGUGUGUGUGUGUGUCUGUGAGAAACUUUUUUUCUCCUGGUCUCAUGCAAUGUCGAAAAAAUUGAGUGAGCAAAUUGAGGCUUUUUUCUUUCAGUGGUAUUGUUUUUAUAUCUAAAACUCACCUAUGAAAAGUUGGUUUCUACUCUCACUCCCAGAACCAGGGUACUGGCUUAAAGACACUGUAAUGUAGUGAUCUAAGCAAAGGCUCUGAAGCCAGGCUGCCUGGGUUCAAAUCCUGACACUACCACUUAUUAAACCUAUAAAUUGAGGGACAUUUGUCAUCUAUAAAAUAAGGUUAAUAGUAAUAGUGCCAACCUCAUGAGAGGUAUUUUUUUUUUAAGAUUUAUUUAUUUGAUACAUGUAGAGAGAGUGCACAGGCACUCAUGUGCACAAGCGGGGAAGGGGCAGAGGGAGAGGGACAAGCAGAC
Lutra lutra (Eurasian river otter) is the source of this 2842-nucleotide long non-coding RNA. RefSeq lists it as uncharacterized. The transcript is spliced from 4 exons. The record is from RefSeq and is a predicted model, not a curated record. NCBI's taxonomy places the organism in Eukaryota, Metazoa, Chordata, Mammalia, Carnivora, Mustelidae.